CCCUACGGGAGGCAGCAGUGGGGAAUAUUGCACAAUGGGGGAAACCCUGAUGCAGCGACGCCGCGUGAAGGAUGAAGUAUUUCGGUAUGUAAACUUCUAUCAGCAGGGAAGGAAAUGACGGUACCUGACUAAGAAGCCCCGGCUAACUACGUGCCAGCAGCCGCGGUAAUACGUAGGGGGCAAGCGUUAUCCGGAUUUACUGGGUGUAAAGGGCGUGUAGGCGGGGACGCAAGUCAGAUGUGAAAACCACGGGCUCAACCUGUGGCCUGCCUUUGAAACUGUGUUUCUUGAGUACU
RNAcentral lists this ribosomal RNA (296 nucleotides) under uncultured bacterium. RNAcentral describes it as "partial 16S ribosomal RNA". It matches the Rfam family "Bacterial small subunit ribosomal RNA", at positions 337 to 650 of the family's 1533-position model. The record is from RNAcentral.